Molecule: non-coding RNA, 932 nt
Organism: Poecilia reticulata (guppy)
Lineage: Eukaryota; Metazoa; Chordata; Actinopteri; Cyprinodontiformes; Poeciliidae
Source: RefSeq, a predicted model, not a curated record
GUCAGGGCCAAAAUCUAUGUUAUCCUUGACAUGGUCGCUGGUGGAGAGGGGCGAUGACAGCUGAGAAGAUUCUGGGAACAACACAAAAUACUCUGCAAAAGACAGCCAAGAGCUCUGCAUGUCUACUCCCAAGCUGAAACAAGGAGCUGUAUUUUGCACCUACUGAGGGUUGAAGCUUGGAUAAACAGAGCACGGGAAGCUGAUGAGAGUUAAAAGAAAAUACAGGGAUUCACACACUUCCACCCCUUGGCAUCCCUAAUCUUUUCCAUGAGUCAGUCAGUAUUGAGCUCAUGUUGUUCACAGUGGAGUACUUGAUCCGCAGUCCACACCAAAGCUUCCCAGCAGCAGAGUUCCCAUGAACAACCUCUCUGGGAGAAACGGCUGAGUUGGCAAGCAGAAGUCGACCACUAGAGAAGGCCAUUUACGCUCUGUGACAAAUCACAUGACUCGUGGUGUAAAGGGAGUAUACCGACAUGAAUUAAAACAAAGCAUCUGCUUCUAUUGAUGCGUUUGGUUUUGAGUCUGCCAUGUGAAUACUGCUUCCUCUUUCCAUGGCUUCCUCCCACCCAAUGUUCCUCUCUAAUAAAGCUGCAAACACGGCCAAGUAAAAAGCAGUAAGAGGAACAGAACAUCCUAAGCUAAAGAUGGUCUAAAGCCUGUAUUUAUACACUCAGAUACCAUUCAAAAGUGACGCAGUUACUUUUGCAUGACCAGAGUUACAAUGCAUGUCAAGCAUUGCGGUAAAGGUGCAAACACACUCACGACGUAUCUAAAGCCAGAGCACACUCUUGAAUUAAGGACAAGGUUGACCUCUGCAGUGGCUUUGAUUGACCACUUCAGAUACAGGCUCCACAGGCAGGAAUUAUCUACAGCUGAUACCACACAGACCGCACGUUUUGUGGUGGACCAAGUGCUGCCCAUGUGAAAACAAG